UACGUAGGGGGCAAGCGUUGUCCGGAUUUAUUGGGCGUAAAGAGCGUGUAGGCGGCCUGACAGGUCUGCUGUGAAAACUCGAGGCUCAACCUCGAGAUGUCGGCGGAAACCGUCUGGCUAGAGUCCGGAAGAGGAGAGUGGAAUUCCUGGUGUAGCGGUGAAAUGCGCAGAUAUCAGGAGGAACACCGAUGGCGAAGGCAGGUCACUGGGCCGCAACUGACGCUGAGGAGCGAAAGCAUGGGGAGCGAACAGG
Molecule: ribosomal RNA, 253 nt
Filed under: uncultured bacterium
Lineage: Bacteria
Description: partial 16S ribosomal RNA
Rfam family: Bacterial small subunit ribosomal RNA
Source: RNAcentral